ACUAGUGAUUUCCGUAGGUGAACCUGCGGAAGGAUCAUUCGCACAUGUUCCAGCAUACUAUUGUUGAAUUGUUCUGUGAGAUUUGCGCGGGGGUGUCGAUUGCGUUUCCCCCCAUGUGAAUACUCAUGGGUGGUAAGGUGCUCGGGGUGGUUUCGCACAUACCUGUUCAUUCUUACUGCCAAUGGUGACGCUGAGCGACUUGAUGGUAGCUGUUGUCGAGUGCAAUUGUUGCGUUACGCUUACAACUUACAGCGAUGGAUGUCUCGGUUCGAACAACGAUGAAGGGCGCAGCGAAGUGCGAUAAGCAUUGUGAAUUGCAGAAUUCCGUGAACCGACAGGGACUUGAACGCGCAUUGUGCUUUUGGGAUAUCCCUAAAAGCAUGCCUGCUUCAGUGUCUAUGUUGUGUUUUUCCAGCAAUGUCUGCACUGCGUAUGUGCAUUGCUGUGAACAUUUAUGCCUCAAGAUGUUUGGCCCUGUUCGGGCAUCAGUGAGGCAUUGGAUUUACAAAGCUUUGGUGUGACAAUCGGCUCAGUAAGGCAUUCGGGUUGCUUUUCGCUGUACUUGUCACAACUCGAAGCUUGCCGUCACAAUGGGAAUACUUAUUGUUGAGACAUGAAGUUAGGUUGGCAAACCCGCGUGAAUUUAAGCAUAUCAAU
This 657-nucleotide ribosomal RNA is filed under the name uncultured eukaryote. Its description in RNAcentral is "eukaryotic LSU rRNA". The stretch from base 244 to 398 matches the Rfam family "5.8S ribosomal RNA". The record is from RNAcentral.